This 401-nucleotide long non-coding RNA is filed under the name Rattus norvegicus (Norway rat). RNAcentral's name for it is "long non-coding RNA NONRATT002273". Lineage: Eukaryota; Metazoa; Chordata; Mammalia; Rodentia; Muridae. The record is from RNAcentral.
GGAAGCCCAGGAUUCACUUCCAAGGCAGGACUCACAUGCUGGAAGGGUAACAGGCAGCACUUGGAGCACUGAACGUGCGUGCUCCGCCUUCAGAGGAGAUCGGGAUUCUGAGUGUGUGUUUGAAAGGAAUGGGCAGGACACAGCAUUUGAGAGCCAGAACAGAGCCUUCUCAGAGGGGAGAGAUGGCGUGUGUCUCAACUCUGGAAGAUGGUUUCAUUUGAACAGUUCGGAAGAGAGAAGUCAUAAUUGUGACUCAGGUAAAACUUCCCUCCCAAAUCCAACAGUCAUAAAAGAAACCAGAAUCUAUUCAGGAAAAAAACUUUUCAAAUGUAAUGAAUGUAAGAAAACUUUCACCCAGAGCUCAUCCCUUACUGUUCACCAGAGAAUCCAUACUGGAGAGA